GAUGAACGCUGGGGGCGUGCCUAAUACAUGCAAGUCGAGCGAACGGACGAGAAGCUUGCUUCUCUGAUGUUAGCGGCGGACGGGUGAGUAACACGUGGAUAACCCACCUAUAAGACUGGGAUAACUUCGGGAAACCGGAGCUAAUACCGGAUAAUAUUUUGAACCGCAUGGUUCAAAAGUGAAAGACGGUCUUGCUGUCACUUAUAGAUGGAUCCGCGCUGCAUUAGCUAGUUGGUAAGGUAACGGCUUACCAAGGCAACGAUGCAUAGCCGACCUGAGAGGGUGAUCGGCCACACUGGAACUGAGACACGGUCCAGACUCCUACGGGAGGCAGCAGUAGGGAAUCUUCCGCAAUGGGCGAAAGCCUGACGGAGCAACGCCGCGUGAGUGAUGAAGGUCUUCGGAUCGUAAAACUCUGUUAUUAGGGAAGAACAUAUGUGUAAGUAACUGUGCACAUCUUGACGGUACCUAAUCAGAAAGCCACGGCUAACUACGUG
RNAcentral lists this ribosomal RNA (497 nucleotides) under uncultured bacterium. RNAcentral describes it as "partial 16S ribosomal RNA". It matches the Rfam family "Bacterial small subunit ribosomal RNA", at positions 28 to 507 of the family's 1533-position model. The record is from RNAcentral.